GACGAACGCUGGCGGCGUGCUUAACACAUGCAAGUCGAACGGAAAGGCCCUGCUUGCAGGGUACUCGAGUGGCGAACGGGUGAGUAACACGUGGGUGAUCUGCCCUGCACUUCGGGAUAAGCCUGGGAAACUGGGUCUAAUACCGGAUAGGAGCCAUUUUUAGUGUGAUGGUUGGAAAGUUUUUUCGGUGUAGGAUGAGCUCGCGGCCUAUCAGCUUGUUGGUGGGGUAAUGGCCUACCAAGGCGGCGACGGGUAGCCGGCCUGAGAGGGUGGACGGCCACAUUGGGACUGAGAUACGGCCCAGACUCCUACGGGAGGCAGCAGUGGGGAAUUUUGCACAAUGGGCGCAAGCCUGAUGCAGCGACGCCGCGUGGGGGAUGACGGCCUUCGGGUUGGAAACUCCUUUCGCUAGGGACGAAGCUUUUUGUGACGGUACCUAGAGAAGAAGCACCGGCUAACUACGUG
RNAcentral lists this ribosomal RNA (465 nucleotides) under uncultured bacterium. RNAcentral describes it as "partial 16S ribosomal RNA". It matches the Rfam family "Bacterial small subunit ribosomal RNA", at positions 28 to 507 of the family's 1533-position model. The record is from RNAcentral.